Molecule: ribosomal RNA, 1275 nt
Filed under: Triticum aestivum (bread wheat)
Lineage: Eukaryota; Viridiplantae; Streptophyta; Magnoliopsida; Poales; Poaceae
Description: partial small subunit ribosomal RNA
Source: RNAcentral
AUGGCAGCUCGGUCGCCGCCGAGGCCGGUGCUGCUGCUGCUCCUCCUCGCCCUCCUCUGCUGCCACAUUGGGCUGUGCUCCUCCGCUCCGCCGGCGGCCAAGCCCAAGGCCAAGCUCUCCGGCGGCCGCAAGGAGCUCGUCUCCACGGAUGACGACGAGCCGGUCAAGCCGCCCAAGGCCACCGCGGCUGCCGGCAUCAAGAAGAAGGUCCCCUCUGGCGCCAAGAACCAGACCAAGGUUCUGAAAGGCAAGAAACCGGAGGAGUCCACCACGACGCCGACCAAGGUCAGCACCAAGAAGGCGACCGCUAAAGCGGAUUCUACCACGACCAAGAAGCCGGCCACUAAAGCUGCCGGCGAUGCGGGCAAGCCCAAGGUCCCGAAGCUGGACAAGGCGGCGGCCACCGCCAAGCCCAAGACCACCGAUUCCGCCAAGUCCACCAAGGCGGGCGCUGCCAAGCCGGUGAAAUCUGAGGGAGGCGCCCCCAAGGCCAAGAAGCCGUCCAAUUCGACCGCGGAUUCGGCCAAGUCGAGCAAGAAAGCGCAGGUUGUCGCCGACGAGAAGGUGGAUUCGACCAAGUCGACCAAGAAAGCGAAGGCCGUCGUCGCCGACGGGAAGGUGAAGGCGAAUUCGACCGUGAGCGGCAACGAGGCGGCGGGGGUGGAGGAGGACGUGGUGUUCGCGGAGGAGGCGGAGGGGACGGAGGACCUCAUGUCCGAGUUCCGGGGCCUCCCGGCGCGGCUGCAUCAGACGCUCAUGCCGGACCUGGCGCGGCUGUCGUACACGUCCAAGGCCUACCUGUCGGCCGCCAACGCGGGGAUCGCCGGCGGCGCCUACCUCGCCAUCUACUUCGCCACGCUCGCGCUCGCCGCCGCCGCCACGGGGCUGGAGCCGCUCCGCUUCUUCCACGCCGCCUCGCCCGCGGCCUACGCCUGGACGCAGGCCGCGCAGUCGCUCGGCUUCAUGGGCUACCUCGUGCUCCAGAUGGUGGACCUCGUCGCCGUCUUCUCCGGGGCCGCCUCCCCGGAGGAGGAGGAGGGCGGCGCGGACGCCACCAAGGCGCUCGGCCUGGCGCAGAUGGUGGUGGGGCUGGCCGUCGGCCUCCACUACUACGCCGCCGUGUUCCACCGCGCCGCCGCCGGCGAGGCCCCGCGCGCGAACUGGCGCGUGUACGCCGUGUAUGCCGCGUGCUUCGUCAUCAUCUGCGCGUGCGCGCGAGCGGAGAAGCGGAAGAAGGCCUACCUCGCCGGAGCCGAGGAGUGGAAGAAGAGCUGA